UCCUAAACGUGAUGGACUACUACAUGGGC
Molecule: small RNA, 29 nt
Filed under: Bombyx mori (domestic silkworm)
Lineage: Eukaryota; Metazoa; Arthropoda; Insecta; Lepidoptera; Bombycidae
Description: ovarian small RNA-27665
Source: RNAcentral